UGGCGGCGUGGAUAAGACAUGCAAGUCGAACGGGAGAAUUGCUAGCUUGCUAAUAAUUCUCUAGUGGCGCACGGGUGAGUAACACGUGAGUAACCUGCCCCCAAGAGUGGGAUAGCCCCGGGAAACUGGGAUUAAUACCGCAUAAAAUCGCAAGAUUAAAGCAGCAAUGCGCUUGGGGAUGGGCUCGCGUCCUAUUAGUUAGUUGGUGAGGUAACGGCUCACCAAGGCGAUGACGGGUAGCCGGUCUGAGAGGAUGUCCGGCCACACUGGAACUGAGACACGGUCCAGACACCUACGGGUGGCAGCAGUCGAGAAUCAUUCACAAUGGGGGAAACCCUGAUGGUGCGACGCCGCGUGGGGGAAUGAAGGUCUUCGGAUUGUAAACCCCUGUCAUGUGGGAGCAAAUUAAAAAGAUAGUACCACAAGAGGAAGAGACGGCUAACUCUGUGCCAGCAGCCGCGGUAAUACAGAGGUCUCAAGCGUUGUUCGGAAUCACUGGGCGUAAAGCGUGCGUAGGCGGUUUCGUAAGUCGUGUGUGAAAGGCGGGGGCUCAACCCCCGGACUGCACAUGAUACUGCGAGACUAGAGUAAUGGAGGGGGAACCGGAAUUCACGGUGUAGCA
RNAcentral lists this ribosomal RNA (622 nucleotides) under Akkermansia muciniphila. Its description in RNAcentral is "bacterial SSU rRNA". It matches the Rfam family "Bacterial small subunit ribosomal RNA", at positions 37 to 680 of the family's 1533-position model. The record is from RNAcentral. Lineage: Bacteria; Pseudomonadati; Verrucomicrobiota; Verrucomicrobiia; Verrucomicrobiales; Akkermansiaceae.